GUCGAACGAAGUUUUUCUUUCGGGAGGAACUUAGUGGCGGACGGGUGACCAUCGCGUGGGUAACCUGCCCUGUACAGGGGGACAACAGCUGGAAACGGCUGCUAAUACCGCAUAAGCCCUUAGCACUGCAUGGUGCAUAGGGAAAAGGAGCAAUCCGGUACAGGAUGGACCCGCGUCUGAUUAGCCAGUUGGCAGGGUAACGGCCUACCAAAGCGACGAUCAGUAGCCGAUCUGAGAGGAUGUACGGCCACAUUGGGACUGAGACACGGCCCAGACUCCUACGGGAGGCAGCAGUGGGGAAUAUUGCACAAUGGAGGAAACUCUGAUGCAGCGACGCCGCGUGAGUGAAGAAGUAUUUCGGUAUGUAAAGCUCUAUCAGCAGGGAAGAAAAUGACGGUACCUGACUAAGAAGCACCGGCUAAAUACGUGCCAGCAGCCGCGGUAAUACGUAUGGUGCAAGCGUUAUCCGGAUUUACUGGGUGUAAAGGGAGCGUAGGUGGCAAGGCAAGCCAGAAGUGAAAACCCGGGGCUCAACCGCGGGAUUGCUUUUGGAACUGUCAUGCUAGAGUGCAGGAGGGGUGAGCGGAAUUCCUAGUGUAGCGGUGAAAUGCGUAGAUAUUAGGAGGAACACCGGAGGCGAAGGCGGCUCACUGGACUGUAACUGACACUGAGGCUCGAAAGCGUGNGGAGCAAACAGGAUUAGAUACCCUGGUNGUCCACGCGGUAAACGAUGAAUACUAGAUGUCGGGUAGCACAGCUACUCGGUGUCGU
Molecule: ribosomal RNA, 771 nt
Filed under: uncultured bacterium
Lineage: Bacteria
Description: bacterial SSU rRNA
Rfam family: Bacterial small subunit ribosomal RNA
Source: RNAcentral